RNAcentral lists this ribosomal RNA (494 nucleotides) under uncultured bacterium. RNAcentral's name for it is "partial 16S ribosomal RNA". It matches the Rfam family "Bacterial small subunit ribosomal RNA", at positions 28 to 507 of the family's 1533-position model. The record is from RNAcentral.
GACGAACGCUGGCGGCGUGCUUAACACAUGCAAGUCGAACGGUGAAGCGCCUUCCUUUUUGGUGGGUGUGGAUGAGUGGCGAACGGGUGAGUAACACGUGAGUAACCUGCCCCCUUCUUCUGGAUAACCGCAUGAAAGUGUGGCUAAUACGGGAUAUUCUGGGUCUGUCGCAUGAUGGGUCUGGGAAAGAUAUUGUUUCGGUGGGGGAUGGGCUCGCGGCCUAUCAGCUUGUUGGUGGGGUGAUGGCCUACCAAGGCGGUGACGGGCAGCCGGCCUGAGAGGGUGGACGGUCACACUGGGACUGAGACACGGCCCAGACUCCUACGGGAGGCAGCAGUGGGGAAUAUUGCACAAUGGGCGCAAGCCUGAUGCAGCGACGCCGCGGGAGGGAUGGAGGCCUUCGGGUUGUGAACCUCUUUCGCCAGUGAAGCAGGCCUGCCUCGUUUGUGGGUGGGUUGACGGUAGCUGGAGAAGAAGCGCCGGCUAACUACGUG